GUUUUUGAAGCAGUAUUUCUAGGCCUUUGUAAAUAGAUGAACAAGCUUCCAUUUUUGUGAGCAGCUUUGAUGACACAGUAUUAGCAUACAGAAGUAUUUUCAUUUACAUUUCCUCAAGGCUUCUCUUGAUAGCUUCUUCUAAUUCUGCAUCAUCCUCUUCUUGUUUCUUUGUUUCUUCCAAACUCCUUUUUAUUGUUAGUUUGGUAUCG
This 209-nucleotide long non-coding RNA is filed under the name Gallus gallus (chicken). The record is from RNAcentral. Lineage: Eukaryota; Metazoa; Chordata; Aves; Galliformes; Phasianidae.